CCUACGGGUGACAGCAGUGGGGAAUAUUGCACAAUGGGCGAAACCCUGAUCCAGCGACGCCGCGUGAGUGAAGAAGUAUUUCGGUACGUAAAGCUCUAUCAGCAGGGAAGAAAAAAAGUCCUUUGGUCUUUGGACGGUACCUGACUAAGAAGCACCGGCUAACUACGUGCCAGCAGCCGCGGUGAUACGUAGGGGGCAAGCGUAAUACGGAUGUAAUGGGUGUAAAGGGAGCGUAGACGGCAGGGCAAGUCUGGAGUGAAAUGCCGGGGCCCAACCCCGGAACUGCUUUUGAAACUGUGCAGCUGGAGUGCAGGAGAGGUAGGCGGAAUGCGUAGUGUAGCGGUGAAAUGCGUAGAUAUUA
RNAcentral lists this ribosomal RNA (361 nucleotides) under uncultured bacterium. RNAcentral's name for it is "partial 16S ribosomal RNA". It matches the Rfam family "Bacterial small subunit ribosomal RNA", at positions 338 to 699 of the family's 1533-position model. The record is from RNAcentral.